CCUUUUUGCCAGCCUUUCUAUGCUACCUUGUUGAUUCCUAGCGCUCUCGAAGACUUUUAUUAGUCGGGCGACCGAGUAGAGGUUUCCCAUCGGGUUUCUCCACAAAACUCCGUCGCGUACAAUGGGGAAUACCGCAGACACGUAAUAAUAAAGGCGCAACCUUUUUUCUACGAUUCAAAGAUCGCGGAUAUGUCGAAUGUGUUAACAAUUCGUGUCAUCUUUUCUUCGCUCAAACAUACAGACCCACAGACCGUUCGCGGUAGACCCACUCUAAAAGAUGGCGCGUGUAAUGAGCGUAUAUUUCGAACUGGUCGUUCCGGGAACUCAAAAUAGUAAAUGAAUCAAAUGAUUUAGCGAAGGUCUCUCUAGAAUCAAACCAGAAAUCAAAUGAGUUAUCAGUGAACACUGAAAUGUGGAUGUGGACAGAGUGACAGGAGAACAUUUGCUGAUAAACACAAGGUGCCUCGUGAUCAAACUCUGGGAAACGACAACAAAGAUGCCAUGUUGGACUUUCAUCAGUGAGGAUAAAAGUCAUCACUUCAAUAACUCCCAGAUCCGUAGCAGAUUUGACAACAUUAAGCUCAGUCCUCAAUAUAGAGAACGAUCUUUCUGGGCUUAUCCGUUUUCUUGAUGUUCUUAGAUUUGAGCGUUUUGGUGGCUGGAAAUAAAGUUAGUAGGAGACCAGUUGGUUAGACUAUCAAGAUUUCCUUGGCUGGCAGUAAAAUCACUGUUGACAUUUUGGAUUACUUUAAGUUCUUUGAAGUCAUCCGCGAACAUUGCCAUUGUGCAGUGACUUAUAACACUUGGCAGGUCGUUAACGUACACUAAGAACAGGAUGGGUCCUAGUAUGGAUCCUUGAGGGACACCAGACUUUAACGGGUUCCAGUUUUAGAAAGAUCCAUUGAUGACCACGCACUAGUAGUAAUAAUAGGGAGCUUAAGCAGGAGAGACUUCGGGGACGACGCCGCAGUCAGAUCCCCGACGGCCUGGGUCUGACGUCGUCGAUCUCCCGCCAAAUUUUAAUUUGUUAAGCACGGAUGCUGUUUUGCCAGGACGCGGCCAUCCUCUGUUCCUGAUAUACUUUUGUUUCUGUUCCGGUUAUGGCCAGUUUUAAAGAGUUUCGUCAGACACUUCUUCUCUACUACGAUGCUGAUCUUAUUAGUGAUGAGGAUUUUAUAAUCUUGUGCGACUCGUUUUCCUCGCGAAAUCCAGAUUUUGCUUAUGAUUCGUACGUUUGCUUUGACAUGGAUAACAUGAACGACGACGAAUGCAUAGCCGAAUUUAGAGUGAGGAAAAGGGAUCUUCCAACACUGGCUCAAGUUCUUAGAAUUCCACCGUCAUUUCAACUUUCUCAGAGGAGCAUUGUAGAUGGUAUGGAAGGCCUGUGUAUGCUCUUAAAGCGACUUGCAUAUCCUUGUAGAUAUGGAGACCUCAUUAACCGUUUUGGACGUCCAGUUCCCGUUUUGAGUAUGGCUACAAAUCAUGUUCUUGAUUACAUUUACAAUACUCACAAUCAUCUCAUAACACGAUGGAAUCACACAAUGCUGACCCCUCGUGCUCUAGAAGUAUACGCAGAAACUAUCCAUGGAAAGGGGGCCACAUUGCAGAACUGUUUUGGAUUUGUGGACGGAACUGUGCGACCUAUAGCUCGACCAGAUGAACACCAACGUAUCAUGUAUAAUGGACAUAAGCGAGUACAGCUUUAAAAUUCCAGUCGCUCACCCUACCGAAUGGACUGAUUGGUAACCUAUAUGGACCUGUAGCUAAGUGAAAAAUUUUUUCCUUUGGUUAGAUUUUCCGUCUCUAAAACUUUUCUAUUAAAAUCGAACAUUCACCUCUCACCAGUUCAUAGCUCACGGUGCAUUCUUGCAAACAGCUCCUGCUCUAUUUUACUCUAAAGUAAACUUACAAACAGCCUUUCAAUUUGUAGACUGAAUGAAAAUAUACGCAGAUCUGAAACAUUUUGAUGCAACAUACAAGAGGUGUGAAAUGGCUAAAAUAACAAUAAAAAAGUCACGUAAGGGAAAAUGUAAAGUUCUCAAUUCUACCUGUACCCUACAGCAGUGUUGUAGAAGUUAUUGUUUCACAUGGUAUUUUGACCAAUCCCUUGUAAUGCCAAAACCAAAAAUGUCAUUCGUAACCAAAGCCUGCAUAUUAUUAGAAAAUAGGUCACUUGAAACAGAUUGACCUAACUUCAUCUAUCAGUAAGCAAUAUAUAUCUGUUUGGAGGUUUUUAUUAAGGUAUUUUCUUUUUCUUCUAGAGGGAAAGAAGCAUGAUUCCAGUAUGCUCAGAGAUUCUGGACUUCUACAAGAUCUUGAACAAUACGCAUUUUCAACUACAGGAAAGGCAAUGUGCAUUUAUGGUGACCCUGCCAACCCCCUAAGGGUUCACCUGCAGGGUCCCUUCAGAGAUGCUCACCUCACCCCUCAGAAGCAGCUCUAGCUUUACAAGCAGUCAAUGAGCUCUGUACGAACAUCGGUUGAAUGGCUAUUUGCAGAUGUCCAAAACUACUUUAAAUUUAUAGACUUCAAGAAAAAUCUCAAAGUGGGGCUCAGUAGUGUUGGUAAAAUGAAUGUAGUAUCUGCCUUACUGCAGAAUGCCCUUACAUGUUUAUAUGGAAGUGAAACCUCGCAGUAUUUUGGGCUAAAUCCCUCAAGCCUGCAAGAUUAUUUUGUUUACUUCAUGACUUUUUUUUAAUAAGAGAAGCCUUGUAUGAACCUUAGAAAAAAGGGAAAUCUCUUAUUCAAACGCAAGUCAGUAAAACCUCCAAGUUAAACUUGAAUUACUAUUUUGUAAAAUUUAUUGACUCUAUAAUUAAAAAAAAAAUGUUUGCUGAA
Stylophora pistillata is the source of this 2838-nucleotide RNA transcript. RefSeq lists it as uncharacterized. NCBI's taxonomy places the organism in Eukaryota, Metazoa, Cnidaria, Anthozoa, Scleractinia, Pocilloporidae. The record is from RefSeq and is a predicted model, not a curated record.